CGAAGUAUAGCAUAUGAAAUGCUUUUUACUUACACUAAAAAUAAAACAAAUCUGUUUACUUCGCCC
Molecule: transfer RNA, 66 nt
Filed under: Bimastos rubidus
Lineage: Eukaryota; Metazoa; Annelida; Clitellata; Crassiclitellata; Lumbricidae
Description: tRNA-Val
Source: RNAcentral